Molecule: transfer RNA, 84 nt
Filed under: Felis catus (domestic cat)
Lineage: Eukaryota; Metazoa; Chordata; Mammalia; Carnivora; Felidae
Rfam family: tRNA
About the family: Transfer RNA (tRNA) molecules are approximately 80 nucleotides in length. Their secondary structure includes four short double-helical elements and three loops (D, anti-codon, and T loops).
Source: Rfam by way of RNAcentral
ACCUGAGUGGCUCAGUUGGUUAAGCAUCUGACUUUGGAUCAGGUAACGAUGUCCCGGUUCAUGAGUUCAAGCCCCACUCAGGCG